CCUACGGGAGGCAGCAGUGGGGAAUUUUGGACAAUGGGCGAAAGCCUGAUCCAGCCAUUCCGCGUGAGUGAAGAAGGCCUUCGGGUUGUAAAGCUCUUUCGCAAGGGAAGAAAACUUAGUUACUAAUAUUAACUGAGGUUGACGGUACCUUGAUAAGAAGCACCGGCUAACUACGUGCCAGCAGCCGCGGUAAUACGUAGGGUGCGAGCGUUAAUCGGAAUUACUGGGCGUAAAGCGUGCGCAGGCGGUUUUGUAAGUCAGAUGUGGAAUCCCCGAGCUCAACUUGGGAACUGCGUUUGAAACUACAAGACUAGAAUAUGUCAGAGGGGGGUAGAAUUCCACGUGUAGCAGUGAAAUGCGUAGAGAUGUGGAGGAAUACCAAUGGCGAAGGCAGCCCCCUGGGAUAAUAUUGACGCUCAUGCACGAAAGCGUGGGGAGCAAACAGGAUUAGAUACCCUGGUAGUCCACGCCCUAAACGAUGUCUACUAGUUGUUGGUGGAGUAAAAUCCAUGAGUAACGCAGCUAACGCGUGAAGUAGACCGCCUGGGGAGUACGGUCGCAAGAUUAAAACUCAAAGGAAUUGACGG
RNAcentral lists this ribosomal RNA (587 nucleotides) under uncultured bacterium. RNAcentral describes it as "bacterial SSU rRNA". It matches the Rfam family "Bacterial small subunit ribosomal RNA", at positions 338 to 916 of the family's 1533-position model. The record is from RNAcentral.